Long non-coding RNA from Dreissena polymorpha, 1568 nucleotides. RefSeq lists it as uncharacterized. The record is from RefSeq and is a predicted model, not a curated record. Lineage: Eukaryota; Metazoa; Mollusca; Bivalvia; Myida; Dreissenidae. The transcript has 3 exons.
CAGGUACUCCACUAGAUGCAAUUACAGUGCCGACCUGGUUGGUUGAUGAUGUACAACAGAAUGCCGCUCAAAUACCAACGAAUUGCAAACGUAUCCGACUCUGGGUAGAAGAACUUUGAUUCUUUGAAGGCGCUGCGAAUUCGAAAUUCUAGAGGGUUUAAGUGACCAGUUUAACUCACUUGAUAGCCCAUUAAAACAUAAAUACGCAGUCUUAUGCAAGUUUGAGACGGAAUUAGGUAAAUUAAAUGAUGCUAUAUCAUUUGGGACGAUGCCGUCGGAAUUGAAAGAAAGGAGGGGAAGAGUCAACGAUGCAGUCAUUGGUUUAUCCAUAUCUGGCAUAGUAGGAGGAAUGAUUGGAAUUGUUGGUCUUGCUCUUAUACCAGUUUCAUUCGGGGCAUCAUUGCGUUUAACCAUUGCUGGUGUUGUGAUUGGUGCCUCAAGCGGAAUAGCGCAAGGAGGUUUCCGCAUUCACGAAGCGGUAAAGCAGAACCAAUGAACUGCUCAAAUAAGGGCAACGUUGGAAAAGGUAAGAGACGACUUUGAAAAAGCACUCACAGAUUUCACGGGAGAAUUCAACGUAGAUGCCUUUGAAAACAGCGGCCCUGAAAAUCCAGGUUUGAACAUUCGAGGAAGUUUCUCAAUAGGAGCGAUUUUACGAUCAGUUCAUAGCGGUGUUGGGAUAGGAUUGGCUGCUGCUAAAGUUGGGGCCUCCGCCGCAACAGCAGCGGCAUCCGUUCUAGCUCCAGUUGGUCUUAUCCUGGACUUUUCUUUUAUUGCAGACUCGCUGUGUGAUAUGCUUAAUGGUAAUAACACCGGAGCUUGAAGGCAACUUGAAUGUUUACGAGUAUUUCAGACUGUUGUUAAUGCAGCAUACAGGGGAAAUGCUGACUUAAGCACAAACAUUGUAGGAAGCAUAAUGCAUAACGACUAAAGGGUUAAGAAUAAAUAUACAUAUGAACAGGCUAAAUACUUUUGAAAACCGUAUUAUUAUCUGUUUAACUCAUUUAUUUCAUCCAUUGGCUGGCUUUAUUGUGUCAUUCGUAUCACAUAGGUAUUGUAGUUUUUAGCUCAACCCAAUAAAUGAAACGACACAACUGAUGCUUCAGCCGGAAAAAAAACCGUUUAGAUAAUCCCAUUCUACUACAUCUUAUUUUAGUGUAACCAUUUUGGUUAAAUGCCGAUUUUUUUUAAGUGGAUGAUGUUUCCACUACUAUCAUGUACAAUUGUUCCACUGGUCAUGCACUUGUAUGGUUAAAAGAAUUUUUGUAAAAACAAGAAUUACGACGCACAUUAAGAUUCGAUACUAGUUGAUUGAGUCAAUGAUGUUAUGCAAUUCAUUUUAAUAAUCGCAAUUCAGUGAAAGAAGCAUGAGAAAAAUUGGACAAAUACUGUUCAAUGGGUAGCAAAUGGGACAAAUACUGUGGAAUGGGCUACUCUAAAAAAAGAAACUAUCAGUUCGUUUUCAUAUAAAAGUCUCAAAAGUUUAUUCGUCAAAACUGUAAGUAAAACUUUUAAGUUUUAUUGAUGUGAUGGACUUGCUUAUGAGCUUUAAACUCGUUUGAAAUUAC